This 497-nucleotide ribosomal RNA is filed under the name uncultured bacterium. RNAcentral's name for it is "partial 16S ribosomal RNA". It matches the Rfam family "Bacterial small subunit ribosomal RNA", at positions 28 to 507 of the family's 1533-position model. The record is from RNAcentral.
GAUGAACGCUGGCGGCGUGCCUAAUACAUGCAAGUCGAGCGAACAGACGAGGAUCUUGCUCCUCUGACGUUAGCGGCGGACGGGUGAGUAACACGUGGAUACCCUACCUAUAAGACUGGGAUAACUUCGGGAAACCGGAGCUAAUACCGGAUAAUAUAUUGAACCGCAUGGUUCAUUAGUGAAAGACGGUUUUGCUGUCACUUAUAGAUGUAUCCGCGCCGCAUUAGCUAGUUGGUAAGGUAACGGCUUACCAAGGCAACGAUGCGUAGCCGACCUGAGAGGGUGAUCGGCCACACUGGAACUGAGACACGGUCCAGACUCCUACGGGAGGCAGCAGUAGGGAAUCUUCCGCAAUGGGCGAAAGCCUGACGGAGCAACGCCGCGUGAGUGAUGAAGGUCUUCGGAUCGUAAAACUCUGUUAUUAGGGAAGAACAAAUGUGUAAGUAACUAUGCACGUCUUGACGGUACCUAAUCAGAAAGCCACGGCUAACUACGUG